RNAcentral lists this ribosomal RNA (253 nucleotides) under uncultured bacterium. RNAcentral's name for it is "partial 16S ribosomal RNA". It matches the Rfam family "Bacterial small subunit ribosomal RNA", at positions 524 to 776 of the family's 1533-position model. The record is from RNAcentral.
UACGGAGGGUGCAAGCGUUAUCCGGAUUCACUGGGUUUAAAGGGUGCGUAGGUGGGCAGGUAAGUCAGUGGUGAAAUCUCCGGGCUUAACUCGGAAACUGCCAUUGAUACUAUCUUUCUUGAAUACCGUGGAGGUCAGCGGAAUAUGUCAUGUGGCGGUGAAAUGCUUAGAUAUGACAUAGAACACCAAUUGCGAAGGCAGCUUACUACCCGAAUAUUGACACUGAGGCACGAAAGCGUGGGGAUCAAACAGG